Molecule: ribosomal RNA, 500 nt
Filed under: uncultured bacterium
Lineage: Bacteria
Description: bacterial SSU rRNA
Rfam family: Bacterial small subunit ribosomal RNA
Source: RNAcentral
GAUGAACGCUAGCUACAGGCUUAACACAUGCAAGUCGAGGGCAGCGCAGUGUAGCAAUACAUGGGCGGCGACCGGCGCACGGGUGCGUAACGCGUAUCCAACCUUCCCGAUACUCAGGGAUAGCCUUCCGAAAGGGAGAUUAAUACCUGAUGGUGUUCAAAUUCCGCAUGUUAUUUGAACUAAAGAUUUAUCGGUAUCGGAUGGGGAUGCGUGACAUUAGAUAGUAGGCGGGGUAACGGCCCACCUAGUCUACGAUGUCUAGGGGUUCUGAGAGGAAGGUCCCCCACACUGGAACUGAGACACGGUCCAAACUCCUACGGGAGGCAGCAGUGAGGAAUAUUGGUCAAUGGUCGGAAGACUGAACCAGCCAAGUAGCGUGAAGGAUGAAGGUUCUAUGGAUUGUAAACUUCUUUUAUACGGGAAUAAAACCACCUACGUGUAGGUGCUGUAUGUACCGUAUGAAUAAGCAUCGGCGUAAACUCCGUGCCAGCAGCCGCGGU